UGGUAAGAUUUUCUUUAAGAUAUCUGUUAGGUUUGGGGUGUUUUUAUUAUCUUCCACUUGCAUUAAUUCAUGAUACAAGUUUUUCUCUCUCUUCCUUUCAGCAUCUCACCAGUUUCUUUCUAUAAGUAGUGUCAAAGUUUGCUCGGCAGCAGCAGAUUAUAAAACAAACUAAUCUCAUGAGCAGGAGAAAAUCACUGGGCUCAAAAUCUUGCCUGUCUGGAGACAGUCAGACUUUCCAUCAGGGACCUGCCAUCUCUAGCUCCACAAAUCUACUUCUACAGGCUCUUUGUCUGAAAUGAACAAGGACCUUGACACUUCUAAACGGCACUGCUCAGGCGUUUUGUAGAAUGCUCCACAGUGUGAGUUUACCUGAUGUUUUUUCAUGAAUAGAUUGAGGCUACGGAUUUUGGAGAAAAAUAUCAUAAAGAUGGAGUCUCACUCUGCUGCCAGGUUGGAGUGCAGUGGCGCAAUCUCGGCUCACUGCAACCUCUGCCUCCCGGAUUCAAGUGAUUCUCGUGCCUCAGCCUCCCCUAAGAUUAGAUUUAACCUAUUCAACUUAACGUUCAGGUUAUUUGCAAUAUGCCCAUCACAUUUUCAGCCUGCAUAUCCCAGUACUU
Molecule: long non-coding RNA, 617 nt
Organism: Gorilla gorilla gorilla (western lowland gorilla)
Lineage: Eukaryota; Metazoa; Chordata; Mammalia; Primates; Hominidae
Exons: 3
Source: RefSeq, a predicted model, not a curated record